GCCCUGUGACUAUAUGUUUAACGGCCGCGGUAUUUUGACCGUGCGAAGGUAGCGCAAUCACUUGUCUUUUAAAUGGAGACCUGUAUGAAAGGCAUCACGAGGGCUUAGCUGUCUCCCCUUUAAAGUCAAUGAAAUUGAUCUCCCCGUGCAGAAGCGGGGAUAUGCUCGUAAGACGAGAAGACCCUAUGGAGCUUAAGAUAAAAGGCGAGUCAUGUCAAACACCCCUUCAAAGGAAGUUGAACGAAAUGAUACCCGCUGGAAUGUCUUCGGUUGGGGCGACCGCGGGGAAAGACAAAACCCCCACAUGGACCAGGGCCACUAUAGCCCUAAAACCUAGACCCACAGGUCAAGUCAACAGUAAAUCUGACUACCAAAGAGCCGGCAAUGCCGAUCAACGGACCGAGUUACCCUAGGGAUAACAGCGCAAUCCCCUCCCAGAGCCCUUAUCGACGAGGGGGUUUACGACCUCGAUGUUGGAUCAGGACAUCCUAAUGGUGCAGCCGCUAUUAAGGGUUCGUUUGUUCAACGAUUAAAGUCCUACGC
Molecule: ribosomal RNA, 543 nt
Filed under: Lampanyctus macdonaldi (rakery beaconlamp)
Lineage: Eukaryota; Metazoa; Chordata; Actinopteri; Myctophiformes; Myctophidae
Description: partial 16S ribosomal RNA
Rfam family: Bacterial large subunit ribosomal RNA
Source: RNAcentral